AGAUGCCUCUCUUGGUUCCCACUGCCCUGCUGGUCUUGAGGCAGGUUGAGGGGGGAGUCACAGGCCAUCCCUGCAAGGAAAAGCAGAGAGGGCAAUUUGGGAAGGUGACAGAGGACCCUGUGGGACGUCGAGUCACAGCCUUGCUGGGCACAGUGACUGGCGUGCAUAGUGAGCUGCUUUCCCAAGCACUGCCACCCCUGGCUCUCAGAUAUGCUGCUGAAAGGGGUGACGGGCAGUGGGGGGCUUGGGACUCCGCCGAGGUGUCCUAGCUCCCAUCCCUAUCCCCAGGCCCAGGCCCAGGCCCCUCCAGCAUGAAAGGCUAGGGACCGCACUGCCAUGGGGUUUGCCAGGCCCCUGUCUCUUGGGAAGCCACCCCUCCCAGGGAAAAGCAGGGCUGAGGGCUGUUCAGGCUCUGCCACCACCUGCUCUGUGACUUCGGGCAGGCCACCAAUUCUUCUGAAAAACGGGAGUCACUGUGGGCACCAUCACGCCCGGGUACAGGACGCCCAGUGGCUCAGCUGCCCCAGCCAGGCUGCCCUGUCCUGGCCUCAGCACACCUCCCACAGCCACUGCAGGCAGCCCUGGACCUUCUCCUGCUGAGGCCUUACUGCCAAUCCCUCUGGGAGACCAGACACAACAGGCAGCGGUCUGGGUGACUCCCAGGAACCUGUCCUCCCUAGUGGCUGAGGCAGUAGGCUUGGCAGCAGGGACUCAGUGCCCUAGGAGGCAGGGCUCAUCCCACAAGUUGCCAUGGUAGCCCCUCCUCCUGCCCCUUACUCAUCAGCCAGGCUGUACCGACACGGGCUGCCCAGGCAGGGGGUGGCUCGCUGGACAAAGCUGGCCGUGCAGGCGCUCAGGCGUGCAGGGUAGCCAGUGCCCCGGCCAGGAAUGGACAGCCUCCAGGACACAGUGGCCCUGGACCAUGGGGGCUGCUGCCCUGCCCUCAGCAGGCUGGUUCCCAGAGGCUUUGGGACUGAGAUGUGGACUCUCUUUGCCCUUUCUGGACCCCUGUUCCUGUUCCAGGUGCUGACUUUUAUGAUCUACAUCGUGAGCACUGUGUUCUGCGGGCACCUGGGCAAGGUGGAGCUGGCAUCGGUGACCCUCGCGGUGGCCUUUGUCAAUGUCUGCGGAGUUUCUGUAGGAGUUGGUUUGUCUUCGGCAUGUGACACCUUGAUGUCUCAGAGCUUCGGCAGCCCCAACAAGAAGCACGUGGGCGUGAUCCUGCAGCGGGGCGCGCUGGUCCUGCUCCUCUGCUGCCUCCCUUGCUGGGCGCUCUUCCUCAACACCCAGCACAUCCUGCUGCUCUUCCGGCAGGACCCGGACGUGUCCAGGUUGACCCAGGACUAUGUAAUGAUUUUCAUUCCAGGACUUCCGGUGAUUUUUCUUUACAAUCUGCUGGCAAAAUAUUUGCAAAAUCAGGUACAGGUCUUUGGUGUGUGGGGAGGCCCUUCUCCCAGCACACUGCCCUAUUCCAGUGGGAGGGGGGCCUGGGGCUUUCCCCUUCUCUCCACCAUCUGUGAACCAGCUCUUGAAAGGGGUCACUUCCAACCCACCUGCCAUAUCCUGACCUCCCGCACAGAGGCAGGUGAGAGGCUGUGCGUCCCAGCCUCUUCCAACUCCUCAACAGGGAUGGCUGAAGGGGCAGGAGGAGGAGUCCCCAUUCCAAACCCCGGGUUUGUCCAUCCUCCAUCCAUCUCACUCACACCUUAGCAGGGCCAGUUUUCAUUUAUUUCAGAAGAUCACCUGGCCCCAAGUCCUCAGUGGUGUGGUGGGCAACUGUGUCAACGGUGUGGCCAACUAUGCCCUGGUUUCUGUGCUGAACCUGGGGGUCAGGGGCUCCGCCUAUGCCAACAUCAUCUCCCAGUUUGCACAGACCGUCUUCCUCCUUCUCUACAUUGUGCUGAAGAAGCUGCACCUGGAGACGUGGGCAGGUUGGUCCAGCCAGUGCCUGCAGGACUGGGGCCCCUUCUUCUCCCUGGCUGUCCCCAGCAUGCUCAUGAUCUGUGUUGAGUGGUGGGCCUAUGAGAUCGGGAGCUUCCUCAUGGGGCUGCUCAGUGUGGUGGAUCUCUCUGCCCAGGCUGUCAUCUACGAGGUGGCCACUGUGACCUACAUGGUAAGGCUCCUGCAGGGGUGCCUUCCCCACAUCCCCCACCUGAUGGCUGGAGGUGUCAUAGGAGGGGGGCAGGCUGUCACCUGAAGCUAUCUCUGUCUCCCGAAGGACCCUCCCCGGGCCUCUCGUGCCCACCAGGUCCAGACCCUGCUCAGCUUACGCCAGGACUCACACACAGGUGCCCACAACCUGACGACCAAGGGUGAUAUUUCACUCACAGAUGUUGGAAUUUUAAAAAUUAAUUAGUAUCAUUUUAAAAUUGGGAGAUUUCACAUCACAAUCUUAUUUUUGGAUUUUCUUUAAAAAUGCACAUUCCAGGCUGGGCGCAGUGGCUCACGUGUGUAAUCCCAGUACUUUGGGAGGCUGAGGGCGGAUCACAAAGCCAGGAGUUCAAGACCAACCUGGGCAAUAUGGUGAAACCCCAUCUC
This 2538-nucleotide long non-coding RNA is filed under the name Homo sapiens (human). RNAcentral describes it as "non-protein coding lnc-SLC47A2-1:4". Lineage: Eukaryota; Metazoa; Chordata; Mammalia; Primates; Hominidae. The record is from RNAcentral.